This 926-nucleotide ribosomal RNA is filed under the name uncultured Oxalobacteraceae bacterium. RNAcentral's name for it is "bacterial SSU rRNA". It matches the Rfam family "Bacterial small subunit ribosomal RNA", at positions 163 to 1096 of the family's 1533-position model. Lineage: Bacteria; Pseudomonadati; Pseudomonadota; Betaproteobacteria; Burkholderiales; Oxalobacteraceae. The record is from RNAcentral.
AUAAUACCGCAUAAGUCCUUGGGAGAAAGCAGCAAUGCGCUGAGAGAGGAGUCCGCGGCCGAUUAGCUAGUUGGUAGGGUAAAAGCCUACCAAGGCAACGAUCGGUAGCCGGCCUGAGAGGGCACACGGCCACACUGGCACUGAAACACGGGCCAGACUCCUACGGGAGGCAGCAGUGGGGAAUCUUGCACAAUGGGGGAAACCCUGAUGCAGCGACGCCGCGUGAGCGAUGAAGCCCUUCGGGGUGUAAAGCUCUUUUGUCAGGGAAGAAACGGUGGGGACUAAUACUUCCUGCUAAUGACGGUACCUGAAGAAUAAGCACCGGCUAACUACGUGCCAGCAGCCGCGGUAAUACGUAGGGUGCAAGCGUUAAUCGGAAUUACUGGGCGUAAAGCGUGCGCAGGCGGUUGUGCAAGACAGAUGUGAAAUCCCCGGGCUCAACCUGGGAAUUGCAUUUGUGACUGCACGGCUAGAGUGUGUCAGAGGGGGGUAGAAUUCCACGUGUAGCAGUGAAAUGCGUAGAGAUGUGGAGGAAUACCGAUGGCGAAGGCAGCCCCCUGGGAUAACACUGACGCUCAUGCACGAAAGCGUGGGGAGCAAACAGGAUUAGAUACCCUGGUAGUCCACGCCCUAAACGAUGUCUACUAGUUGUCGGGUCUUAAUUGACUUGGUAACGCAGCUAACGCGUGAAGUAGACCGCCUGGGGAGUACGGUCGCAAGAUUAAAACUCAAAGGAAUUGACGGGGACCCGCACAAGCGGUGGAUGAUGUGGAUUAAUUCGAUGCAACGCGAAAAACCUUACCUACCCUUGACAUGUACGGAAGCCUCGAGAGAUUGAGGCGUGCUCGAAAGAGAGCCGUAACACAGGUGCUGCAUGGCUGUCGUCAGCUCGUGUCGUGAGAUGUUGGGGUAAGUCCCGCAACGAG